GCUGAACAUCAAGAGAGGAGCAUCAGUUCACUGAGGGACAAAGAGAAGAAAUAGACAAACUGCUGGAGGAAAAUAAUUCAUCUGACAGCAAAGAUGCAGUGGAGUCUGAUUCUGCUCUUCCUGAUGGCUCAGUGUUGUUUCAUGGACUGUCAGCUCUAUCAGUUUCACUACAUUAAUGAGAAUAAGAACUGGACUGAAGCUCAGCAGUACUGCAUAAAGAAUCACACUGACCUGGUCACAGUGACUAACAUGAAGGACAUGAAGAGACUCAUCAACAUCUCAGCU
Molecule: long non-coding RNA, 285 nt
Organism: Poecilia latipinna (sailfin molly)
Lineage: Eukaryota; Metazoa; Chordata; Actinopteri; Cyprinodontiformes; Poeciliidae
Exons: 3
Source: RefSeq, a predicted model, not a curated record